Trichonephila inaurata madagascariensis is the source of this 79-nucleotide non-coding RNA. The record is from the annotation of a GenBank genome assembly. Lineage: Eukaryota; Metazoa; Arthropoda; Arachnida; Araneae; Nephilidae.
GGUUCCGUAGUGUAGUGAAGCUAUCACGUUCGCUUCACACGCGAAAAGCGCGUCUCCGGUUCGAUCCCGGACGGAACCA